Molecule: ribosomal RNA, 492 nt
Filed under: uncultured bacterium
Lineage: Bacteria
Description: partial 16S ribosomal RNA
Rfam family: Bacterial small subunit ribosomal RNA
Source: RNAcentral
AGUGAACGCUGGCGGUAGGCCUAACACAUGCAAGUCGAACGGCAGCACAGUAAGAGCUUGCUCUUACGGGUGGCGAGUGGCGGACGGGUGAGGAAUACAUCGGAAUCUACUUUUUCGUGGGGGAUAACGUAGGGAAACUUACGCUAAUACCGCAUACGACCUACGGGUGAAAGCAGGGGUUCUUCGGACCUUUCGCGAUUGAAUGAGCUGAUGUCGGAUUAGCUAGUUGGCGGGGUAAAGGCCCACCAAGGCGACGAUCCGUAGCUGGUCUGAGAGGAUGAUCAGCCACACUGGAACUGAGACACGGUCCAGACUCCUACGGGAGGCAGCAGUGGGGAAUAUUGGACAAUGGGCGCAAGCCUGAUCCAGCCAUACCGCGUGGGUGAAGAAGGCCUUCGGGUUGUAAAGCCCUUUUGUUGGGAAAGAAAAGCAGCAGGUUAAUACCCCGCUGUUCUGACGGUACCCAAAGAAUAAGCACCGGCUAACUUCGUG